Molecule: ribosomal RNA, 486 nt
Filed under: uncultured bacterium
Lineage: Bacteria
Description: bacterial SSU rRNA
Rfam family: Bacterial small subunit ribosomal RNA
Source: RNAcentral
GAUGAACGCUAGCGGCAGGCUUAACACAUGCAAGUCGAGGGGUAUUGGUUUUCGGACCAAGAGACCGGCGCACGGGUGCGUAACGCGUAUGCAAUCUACCUUUUGCAGAGGGAUAGCCCCAGAGAAAUUUGGAUUAAUACCUCAUAGUAUAGUACUUUGGCAUCAAGGAACUAUUAAAGUCACAACGGCAAAAGAUGAGCAUGCGUCCCAUUAGCUAGUUGGUAAGGUAACGGCUUACCAAGGCUACGAUGGGUAGGGGUCCUGAGAGGGAGAUCCCCCACACUGGUACUGAGACACGGACCAGACUCCUACGGGAGGCAGCAGUGAGGAAUAUUGGACAAUGGGCGCAAGCCUGAUCCAGCCAUGCCGCGUGCAGGAUGACGGUCCUAUGGAUUGUAAACUGCUUUUAUACAGGAAGAAACACUCCGACGUGUCGGAGCUUGACGGUACUGUAAGAAUAAGGAUCGGCUAACUCCGUGCCAGCAG